UGCAGCCUACGGGGGGCAGCAGUGAGGAAUAUUGGUCAAUGGGCGCGAGCCUGAACCAGCAAAGCCGCGUGAGGGAAGACGGUCCUAUGGAUUGUAAACCUCUUUUGUCGGGGAGCAAAAGACGCCACGUGUGGCGUUCCGAGAGUACCCGAAGAAAAAGCAUCGGCUAACUCCGUGCCAGCAGCCGCGGUAAUACGGAGGCUGCGAGCGUUAUCCGGAUUUAUUGGUUUCAAAGG
This 236-nucleotide ribosomal RNA is filed under the name uncultured bacterium. RNAcentral describes it as "partial 16S ribosomal RNA". It matches the Rfam family "Bacterial small subunit ribosomal RNA", at positions 333 to 566 of the family's 1533-position model. The record is from RNAcentral.